GAUGAACGCUAGCUACAGGCUUAACACGUGCAAGUCGCGGGGCAGCAUGGGGGUUGCUUGCAAUCCCCGAUGGCGACCGGCGCACGGGUGAGUAACGCGUAUCCAACCUGCCCUUCACCACGGGAUAACCCGGCGAAAGUCGGACUAAUACCGUAUGUUGUCCAUUGACGGCAUCCGAUUUGGACGAAAGGCUUGGCGGUGAGGGAUGGGGAUGCGUCCGAUUAGCCAGACGGCGGGGUAACGGCCCACCGUGGCUACGAUCGGUAGGGGUUCUGAGAGGAAGGUCCCCCACACUGGAACUGAGACACGGUCCAGACUCCUACGGGCGGCAGCAGUGAGGAAUAUUGGUCAAUGGGCGUAAGCCUGAACCAGCCAAGUAGCGUGCAGGAUGACGGCCCUAUGGGUUGUAAACUGCUUUUAUGCGGGGAUAAAGUGGCCCACGUGUGGGCUUUUGCAGGUACCGCAUGAAUAAGGACCGGCUAAUUCCGUG
This 490-nucleotide ribosomal RNA is filed under the name uncultured bacterium. RNAcentral's name for it is "partial 16S ribosomal RNA". It matches the Rfam family "Bacterial small subunit ribosomal RNA", at positions 28 to 507 of the family's 1533-position model. The record is from RNAcentral.